RNAcentral lists this transfer RNA (76 nucleotides) under Sulfurospirillum arcachonense. Its description in RNAcentral is "tRNA-Thr". It matches the Rfam family "tRNA". From Rfam's summary of the family: Transfer RNA (tRNA) molecules are approximately 80 nucleotides in length. Their secondary structure includes four short double-helical elements and three loops (D, anti-codon, and T loops). Lineage: Bacteria; Pseudomonadati; Campylobacterota; Epsilonproteobacteria; Campylobacterales; Sulfurospirillaceae. The record is from RNAcentral.
GCUGGAUUAGCUCAGCCGGUAGAGCAACUGCCUUGUAAGCAGUAGGUCACCUGUUCGAUUCGGGUAUCCAGCACCA